CUGAAUACAGAUUAUACGUCACCAAUUUGGUAAAAGUGAUGAAAAUAAGGCAAAAGUGAUGAAAAUAAUAAAAAAACGCAUACCGAGCUGAUGGCGAUGGCAUCAACGGUGAGGGACUCGGAAGGUCUAUCGGCGGCACUCCAUCCACUGUUCAGUUCAAUAAUAAUCCAUAUAUAUUCUUCAUCAGAUCAAUCAUCGGUGAAGUUUUUUGUUUUUUGUUUCCGGCCGUACGUACAAACAUGUGUACAUAUAUAGCUUUCCGAUCAUCAGAUCUCAAGAGGCAGCAGCUAGCUAUUACGUACUUGUGUAGAGAAACCUUUGUGACUUACUUAGGCUGCAGGCCGCGGCAAGUAGAUCGACACGUCCAGCGUGGCCACACACCGAGAAGAGCUCCACCAUGCGCAUGCGACUCAUCGGCGCCGGCAGAAGCUUGCCGAUGUCGCCGUCCACGACGUGGCACAGGCAGGUGACCGUGUCCAACGUGAACAUGGAGCCGAAGCCGUCGCAGCAGGUGGCGUCGGGCGCGUACACGGUGGAGUUAUUGGUGAGGAAGCCCGCGCACGGCAUCAUCCGCGCCAGCCAUGGCCGGCACUCCCUUGGCUGCGGCGGCAGCUGUGGAAUGCCGCCGUCACCGUCACCGUUACCUGGAUCUGCGAUGGCCCUGGCAAGGCCUCCUCCCACUCUGCUCGCCGCUGAUGGUUGCAGGAUAAGGGCGGCCAUGGCGACCAGCAGUGUGGUGCGCUUGUUGCCUAGCGCCAUCCUCAACUAUAGACGCGCGCGGCGUGUGUUGAGAAUUUGUUCGAGCACCGGUUU
Molecule: unclassified non-coding RNA, 813 nt
Filed under: Zea mays
Lineage: Eukaryota; Viridiplantae; Streptophyta; Magnoliopsida; Poales; Poaceae
Description: misc RNA Zm00001eb306780
Source: RNAcentral